This 265-nucleotide ribosomal RNA is filed under the name uncultured archaeon. RNAcentral describes it as "partial 16S ribosomal RNA". It matches the Rfam family "Archaeal small subunit ribosomal RNA", at positions 719 to 982 of the family's 1478-position model. The record is from RNAcentral.
ACAGUCACACAUUAGAUACCCGGGUAGUCCUAGCCGUAAACGAUACUCGCUAGGUGUCGGCCACGGUGCGACCGUUGUCGGUGCCGUAGGGAAGCCGUGAAGCGAGCCACCUGGGAAGUACGGCCGCAAGGCUGAAACUUAAAGGAAUUGGCGGGGGAGCACAACAACGGGUGGAGCUUGCGGUUUAAUUGGAUUCAACGCCGGAAAUCUUACCGGGACCGACAGCAACAUGAAGGCCAAGCCGAAGACUUUGCCGGAUUAGCUG